UGGGAUUAAAGGCGUGUGCCAUCACUAUCCAG
Molecule: non-coding RNA, 32 nt
Filed under: Mus musculus (house mouse)
Lineage: Eukaryota; Metazoa; Chordata; Mammalia; Rodentia; Muridae
Source: RNAcentral